This 253-nucleotide ribosomal RNA is filed under the name uncultured bacterium. RNAcentral describes it as "partial 16S ribosomal RNA". It matches the Rfam family "Bacterial small subunit ribosomal RNA", at positions 524 to 776 of the family's 1533-position model. The record is from RNAcentral.
UACAGAGGUCUCAAGCGUUGUUCGGAUUCAUUGGGCGUAAAGGGCGCGUAGGCUGCGGGGCAAGUCGGGUGUGAAAUCUCAGAGCUCAACUCUGAAACUGCACUCGAUACUGCUUUGCUCGAGGACUGGAGAGGAGAUUGGAAUUUACGGUGUAGCGGUGAAAUGCGUAGAUAUCGUAAGGAAGACCAGUGGCGAAGGCGGGUCUCUGGACAGUUCCUGACGCUGAGGCACGAAGGCCAGGGGAGCAAACGGG